GAGAUGUUAGAGUAUGACGUGAAUGUUAAAGAAGCUAUUAUUGCUGAAGAAGUUAACCAAGUCAUGCAGACCGUUUAUUUUCCAACCGCUGCAGAUCAAAGAUCAAGAUCGAGGACCUUGAGCCGUUAUGGUUGUUACUAGCAAAGACAGAAUGGUCGUGAUUGUCAAAGUUUGGGAAAUCCUGGAACGUUUGCAUCAUUCGCGCUUUGGUGGUUCUUGUGAAGAGUUAGGAAUUUAGGUUACCCUUCCUCAUGAAGUUACCCGAUCUAGUUACCUAUACCUAAGAUAACACUUGUUGAACUUGUCCGCUUUUCCUUACCGUUAGUCCACAUCCAAGUGUUAGGCUAUUUGGGUAGAGCCUACACUUUAUAGUUGUCUGGACCGUCAAAACCCCUGAAAGGUCCAAUCACAGGUUUGCUUCUUAUCCCAUUGUGUGUUGUGUGCAUUUUUAAAAUCUUAUAAUUGAUUGAAAUAAAAAAAAAUAUAUAUAUAUAUAUAUAUAUAUAUAUAUAUAUGUGAAUUGUGAUCAAGGUGUCGUAAGAGACCUUGCCUAUGGAUGGAGUUUUCCGCCCAUAUCGUGUUUUAUUCGGGAAUAACACAUAGUUGUAGUUCCCGAGCAUUGUCAUAGUAUUAGAAAGGAUUCACUUUGGUGAAUUCAAGUAUCCGUUCUUAUUUGUGGAAGUAUUGGCUGCCAUUUGAAGUAAUGGUAUGCCUUCCCCAUUCCUUAGUACUUCUGUUAGAGCGGUAUGUUUCUAUCUAGAGUGAGAUUUGCUAUCUAGUUACCGAGCUCAAUUAGGAUGUCGAGGAAAGAAGUAUUAGGAAGAAGACCCGUCACUGUUGGCCUACAAUGAUACUCUACCAAGUGUUUGAGCAUGCUCAUAACAGUUUGGCAAGUUGAAAAACUUUUGGGAAAAAGGUGAAGAAGUGUACUCUAGUAACUUGAUUGUUUAAAUUGUAAAAGAUGAAAAGGUGCAGAGUAGAAGACAGUCUGAUAAUCAAGAAAGAUGAAGAUGUGGUUAAGGCAUUGAAAGGAUGGUUGACAUCUAAAAGUAACAUGUUCACUAUUCUUGUUGAACCUGGAUUCGCUGCAAUAGCCUAGGGAUUUCACCAAGUGGUUCUUGCCGAGUUCUAGUAGUAGUUAGAAGAUUAUAAAAGGGUCUCAGAUAGAUCAGAAGUGUAAAGAAUACAGUAAGUGAAAUCAUUCUUGGAAUGGGUGAGUGUGAGUAUUUGAGAGUAGCACCCCUGGUCCGAAUCAUGUUGGUGUGAUUGAUCGUGCAUGUUCUUGUUUGAUUGUUGCACGGUUAAUCAAGUUAACAUUGACCAGACUGGAGAUGUUAUUUUCACGUAUGGCACAUCACCUAACGUUCCAAAUUUCAUGUUGCUGUUAUGGGAGAAAGUCAGAUAGAAAAGGUUGAGAAGUAAUAGUCUACAUAUACAAGAUUGUUAGAAAAAGUAUGCAGACCGCAGUUGACAAGAAUUGUGCAGACUAAAGAAUUUGGUUAUCUUGAAAGUGGCUGCUCAGAAAAGAAAGGAUCGGUUGGGGGAAUCAAGGGAUCGACCAUGAGUUGUUUUGAUAUGGGAAGAUUAAGAUAAGGUAAGAGCUAAUAUCCAUAACUCCUUUCAGAGACUGUUCAGUAAAGAGUGUACAGCUACGUUUUCAGAAUUCGGGGACGAAUUCUAUUGAGGAGGGAAGAAUGUAAUAACCCUCACGAG
This is a long non-coding RNA of Brassica rapa (field mustard), 1713 nucleotides long. RefSeq lists it as uncharacterized. The record is from RefSeq and is a predicted model, not a curated record. Lineage: Eukaryota; Viridiplantae; Streptophyta; Magnoliopsida; Brassicales; Brassicaceae.